This 1127-nucleotide long non-coding RNA is filed under the name Homo sapiens (human). Its description in RNAcentral is "HSALNT0396064". The record is from RNAcentral. Lineage: Eukaryota; Metazoa; Chordata; Mammalia; Primates; Hominidae.
ACGCCUUCAUCCCGCCUCCAAGGCUGUCGGAGAUGGUUUUUUCUUUAUCCAGUUAUGUGGUUUUGUUUUUUUAUUUGUUUUUUUGUUUUUGUUUUUGUUUUUGUUUUUGUUUUUUUUGAGACGGAGUCUUGCUCUGUUGCCCAGGCUGGAGUGCAGUGGCGCGAUCUCGGCUCACUGCAAGCUCCGCCUCCUGGGUUCACGCCAUUCUCCUGCCUCAGCCUCCCGAGUAGCUGGGACUGCAGGCGCCCGCCACCACGCCUGGCUAAUUUUUUGUAUUUUUAGUAGAGACGGGUAUCACCGCGUUAGCCAGGAUGGUCUCGAUCUCCUGACCUCGUGAUCCUCCCGCCUCAGCCUUCCAAAGUGCUGGGAUUACAGGCGUGAGCCACCGUGCCUGGCGUUUUUUCAUUUGUUUAAAGGCAGGGCCUUAUUGCCCUCAGAAAGCCUUCAGGAUUGGGCCUGCCAGACCAUGCCUCCCAGUUUAGAUUCCCCAGGGCAGGGCCAUGUCCCCCCGAAACCCCUCAGAUUAGGUAUUUGUGUCCCUUACCCCCUAGACCAGGGUCCUCUCCCCUACCCCCUUAAACCAGGUCCCGUCCCCUCUCAGACCUUCCAGGGCUCUCCAAGGACAGAACAAAGUGGGGAGUCCACAGAUCCUGGAGUGCCUCCCUUGUCGCCCCCUAACAAAUCCGAAUGCUUAUUUUUAGUUUCUUUGUUUUGGUUUUUAGAGACAAGGUCUUCCUCUGUCGCCCAGGCUGGAGUGCAAUGGGCAAGAUCAUGGCUUACUGCAGCCUCGACCUCCAGAGCUCAAGGGAUUCUCCUGCCUCUGUCUCCUGAGUAGCUGGUCUACAGAGACUGGGUCUCGCUCUGUCGCUCAGGAUGGUGUCGAACUCCUGGGUUCCAGCAAUUCUCUCACCUCAGCCUCUGAAAGUGCUGGGAUUACAGGGGUGAGCCACUGUACCCGGUCCCACCGUGCCCUUUUGCAGUCAACCUCUCCUGUCCCAAUAUUUCACCGUCCCUAUAGUUUUUUUUCUCCUAGAACAUUAUAGAAAUAGAGUCAUACAAUAUGCAACCUUUGCGUUGAACUUCUUUCCCUCAUCCUAAUACAUUUGAGAGUUCUCCAUGUGGCUAGG